GGCGGUGUAGUUCAGGUGGUAGAACAGCGGGGUCAUAGUCCGCGUGUCGUGGGUUCGAUUCCCUCCUCCGUCA
RNAcentral lists this transfer RNA (73 nucleotides) under Seculamonas ecuadoriensis. Its description in RNAcentral is "tRNA-Met". It matches the Rfam family "tRNA". Rfam says of the family: Transfer RNA (tRNA) molecules are approximately 80 nucleotides in length. Their secondary structure includes four short double-helical elements and three loops (D, anti-codon, and T loops). The record is from RNAcentral. Lineage: Eukaryota; Jakobea; Jakobida; Moramonadidae.